Molecule: ribosomal RNA, 108 nt
Filed under: uncultured eukaryote
Lineage: Eukaryota
Description: partial small subunit ribosomal RNA
Rfam family: Bacterial small subunit ribosomal RNA
Source: RNAcentral
ACCAGAAGUCGUUGUUGCCAACCGUAAGGGGGCAGGCGCCGAAGGUGGGGUUGGUGAUUGGGGUGAAGUCGUAACAAGGUAGCCGUAGGUGAACCUGCAGAAGGAUCA